GAUGAACGCUGACAGAAUGCUUAACACAUGCAAGUCAACUUGAAUUUGGGUUUUUUAACUUAGAUUUGGGUGGCGGACGGGUGAGUAACGCGUAAAGAACUUGCCUCACAGCUAGGGACAACAUUUGGAAACGAAUGCUAAUACCUGAUAUUAUGAUUAUAAGGCAUCUUAGCAUUAUGAAAGCUAUAUGCGCUGUGAGAGAGCUUUGCGUCCCAUUAGCUAGUUGGAGAGGUAACGGCUCACCAAGGCGAUGAUGGGUAGCCGGCCUGAGAGGGUGAACGGCCACAAGGGGACUGAGACACGGCCCUUACUCCUACGGGAGGCAGCAGUGGGGAAUAUUGGACAAUGGACCAAGAGUCUGAUCCAGCAAUUCUGUGUGCACGAUGACGUUUUUCGGAAUGUAAAGUGCUUUCAGUUGGGAAGAAAAAAGUGACGGUACCAACAGAAGAAGUGACGGCUAAAUACGUG
RNAcentral lists this ribosomal RNA (468 nucleotides) under uncultured bacterium. RNAcentral's name for it is "partial 16S ribosomal RNA". It matches the Rfam family "Bacterial small subunit ribosomal RNA", at positions 28 to 507 of the family's 1533-position model. The record is from RNAcentral.